GACGAACGCUGGCGGCGUGCUUGACACAUGCAAGUCGAACGGAAAGGCCUGCUUUCCCUUGUGGAUUGCGGGUACUCGAGUGGCGAACGGGUGAGUAACACGUGAGUGAUCUGCCCCCAACUUGGGUAUAAGCCUGGGAAACUGGGUCUAAUUCCCGAUAGGACUGCAGGGUGGUGCCUGUGGUGGAAAACGAUUUUCUAGUGGUUGGGGAUGAGCUCGAGGCCUAUCAGCUUGUUGGUGGGGUAAUGGCCUACCAAGGCGGCGACGGGUAGCCGGCCUGAGAGGGUGGACGGCCACAUUGGGACUGAGAUACGGCCCAGACUCCUACGGGAGGCAGCAGUGGGGAAUAAUGCACCAUGGGCGGAAGCCUGAUGCAGCGACGCCGCGUGGGGGAUGACGGCCUUCGGGUUGUAAACUCCUUUCGACCGCGAGGAAGCCACCUGGUUGGAAGGGUGGUGACGGUAGUGGUAGAAGAAGCAACGGCUAACUACGUG
RNAcentral lists this ribosomal RNA (494 nucleotides) under uncultured bacterium. RNAcentral describes it as "partial 16S ribosomal RNA". It matches the Rfam family "Bacterial small subunit ribosomal RNA", at positions 28 to 507 of the family's 1533-position model. The record is from RNAcentral.